GCCUUUAUGGUGCAACGGUAGCACACUUAACACGUAUUCUAGAGGUCCAGGUUCGAAUCCAGGCGAAGGCA
This 71-nucleotide transfer RNA is filed under the name Stegodyphus mimosarum. It matches the Rfam family "tRNA". Rfam says of the family: Transfer RNA (tRNA) molecules are approximately 80 nucleotides in length. Their secondary structure includes four short double-helical elements and three loops (D, anti-codon, and T loops). The record is from Rfam by way of RNAcentral. Lineage: Eukaryota; Metazoa; Arthropoda; Arachnida; Araneae; Eresidae.